Molecule: ribosomal RNA, 484 nt
Filed under: uncultured bacterium
Lineage: Bacteria
Description: partial 16S ribosomal RNA
Rfam family: Bacterial small subunit ribosomal RNA
Source: RNAcentral
AUUGAACGCUGGCGGCAGGCCUAACACAUGCAAGUCGAGCGGAUGAAGGGAGCUUGCUCCUGGAUUCAGCGGCGGACGGGUGAGUAAUGCCUAGGAAUCUGCCUGGUAGUGGGGGAUAACGUCCGGAAACGGGCGCUAAUACCGCAUACGUCCUGAGGGAGAAAGUGGGGGAUCUUCGGACCUCACGCUAUCAGAUGAGCCUAGGUCGGAUUAGCUAGUUGGUGGGGUAAAGGCCUACCAAGGCGACGAUCCGUAACUGGUCUGAGAGGAUGAUCAGUCAGACUGGAACUUAGACACGGUCCAGACUCCUACGGGAGGCAGCAGUGGGGAAUAUUGGACAAUGGGCGAAAGCCUGAUCCAGCCAUGCCGCGUGUGUGAAGAAGGUCUUCGGAUUGUAAAGCACUUUAAGUUGGGAGGAAGGGCAGUAAGUUAAUACCUUGCUGUUUUGACGUUACCAACAGAAUAAGCACCGGCUAACUUCGUG